Molecule: ribosomal RNA, 503 nt
Filed under: Salmonella enterica subsp. enterica serovar Infantis
Lineage: Bacteria; Pseudomonadati; Pseudomonadota; Gammaproteobacteria; Enterobacterales; Enterobacteriaceae
Also listed under: 15 other names
Description: partial 23S ribosomal RNA
Rfam family: Bacterial large subunit ribosomal RNA
Source: RNAcentral
AGACCCGAAACCCGGUGAUCUAGCCAUGGGCAGGUUGAAGGUUGGGUAACACUAACUGGAGGACCGAACCGACUAAUGUUGAAAAAUUAGCGGAUGACCUGUGGCUGGGGGUGAAAGGCCAAUCAAACCGGGAGAUAGCUGGUUCUCCCCGAAAGCUAUUUAGGUAGCGCCUCGUGAAUUCAUCUCCGGGGGUAGAGCACUGUUUCGGCUAGGGGGCCAUCCCGGCUUACCAACCCGAUGCAAACUGCGAAUACCGGAGAAUGUUAUCACGGGAGACACACGGCGGGUGCUAACGUCCGUCGUGAAGAGGGAAACAACCCAGACCGCCAGCUAAGGUCCCAAAGUCAUGGUUAAGUGGGAAACGAUGUGGGAAGGCCCAGACAGCCAGGAUGUUGGCUUAGAAGCAGCCAUCAUUUAAAGAAAGCGUAAUAGCUCACUGGUCGAGUCGGCCUGCGCGGAAGAUGUAACGGGGCUAAACCAUGCACCGAAGCUGCGGCAGCGAC